UACCCAUAUUUUUUUUGCAUUACUCUCUGGCUAAGUUGUUAAGAUUUAAUUAUAUUUUCUAUAAUAUCCUUUAUGCUUUUAAGCCCAAUUUAGUAAGUCCUUCGUGAUUGAAGUCUAAUUUCCUCAUCUCAAAUUAGGUUUUUUGCCCAUACAAAACUGAGGCUAGAUGAUACAUGGGCAAACUAUUAUAUAAUUUCUUCCAAUACUUCCACACGCAUAACUUUUUUUUGUUAAAAUUCAUACUAUCUGUAUGUAAACUAAGACAAAUAUAAACUGUAAAUAUUAUCAUUGUUCAUCUUUUAAACAGAAAUAUUUCCAUUCAAUUCCAAAACUAAUGCUUAAUCAAUGUCUGUAUAUAUUUUUUAUGGAUCCUG
RNAcentral lists this long non-coding RNA (374 nucleotides) under Elaeis guineensis (African oil palm). RNAcentral describes it as "long non-coding RNA (EGUI_LNC014163)". The record is from RNAcentral. Lineage: Eukaryota; Viridiplantae; Streptophyta; Magnoliopsida; Arecales; Arecaceae.